Capsicum annuum is the source of this 107-nucleotide non-coding RNA. Lineage: Eukaryota; Viridiplantae; Streptophyta; Magnoliopsida; Solanales; Solanaceae. The record is from Rfam.
UGAUGAUGGUGAGGGAAAGUUUUUAGCAUACCCUUAAAUUUUUCCCAAGCUUAGUAGAGAUUCUCUCCUUUUUUCUAUCUGAAACUUAAGAUCUCACUCCUCAAGCA